UCUGGGGAAGGUUUUGAAGUUCCAACUGUCUGGGCACUUCUCUCCUGGAAGGGCCUGAGGUUGGAGGCUUGGAAAAACAGGUUUCUGCUUCUCCUGAUAACAAAUGAAGGGAAGAAUCUUUUAAACUGGCUGCUGGCAGCUUGAGUAAAGAAGAUUGAGGACACACUUCACCACUGGACCUAUUUGGACAGUUAUCAACUGAAGAUCCUGGCCCAUUUGAUUGGACUCCAUUUAUGGAGGAAAAGAAGAUCAAAGAAAGGAGAAAUUAUCUGCUUGAGUUCAGUGGUACAAUAACUAACUGUCAAGACUAGAGAGUGCUAGGUCAAGAUGGCUCCAGAGUAGAGACAGAGCUCUUCUUCUCAUCUCCACCAAUUGAGACAGAGUGCCUCAAAACAACAAAACCAAAAUCAAAUGAGUGAAGGAGUUCCACGGUAGGGCACAGCACAGAAGGCAGGCAAAGUUAAGGCAUUUUAACACUAUAAGGGGGUGAAAUUUCCUUCACCAAGGGGUGAGCUCAUCACUCCUCCCCCACUUCACCUACCUUUCCAGAGCCUGAGAAGAGCAUGGGACAAACUUCUAAGUUCUAGAACAGAGGCUGGCUGAGGUCAACACAGAUUUACCCCUAAGAGAAACUAGAAUUAGAACAAUGGGAGUCUGAGGAAAGAUGGAGAUAGGCUUUGGAACAUGGAGAAAAGGGGCAUCUCACAGCAAAACACCACAGAUAACUGAAAAAAGUCCUCAGGCUAAUCCUUUACAGCUCUCAAUACAGAGACUUCCCUACACUCCACACCCAGACCUCUUCCUAGGCAAUCUUUAAGUUCUGAGGGGCUGGAUGUGCCACUAAGGGCAGCUGGACACUGCUGAAGACUAGGAAAAAUAUCCUCAGGGAAGAAACCUCUCCAGAGUCCAAUACAAAGAUCACCCACAUUCCUCACUUAGACAACUGACCAGGAAGGAACAAGGCAAUGGCCACCAACUCCCAUGAACUAAAAUCCAGAAACACCAAAAACAACAAGAAGAAAACUUUGACCCUUGAUAAUUUUUAUGCAGAAAAAACCCAGACUAAAGAAGAGACAGCAGAAGAUGACAAACAAUUAAACACACUCAAACCUUUGGAAAAAAAAUGGAAAUUGGUCACUAGUACUUGAAGACUUUAAAUCUGAGAUUGUCAGAAAAAUGGAAGAAACAUGGCAAGAAAAGUGGGAAAUAGUUCACAAAGAAAAUAACAGCUUAAAAGAAAUUACACUUGGAAAUUGAAGUCCAGAAAUCAAAUGAAAUAAUAAGCAAAUUGAAGACCAGAAACGACCUGAAAAGGAAAAUCAAAAGAUCUUAGCUUAAAACCAGUCAUUAAAAACUAGAAUCAGGAAAGUAGAAGCCAAUGAUCUCACAAGACAGCAAGAAUUAUUAAAGCAAAGUCAAAAGAAUGACAAAUUAGAAGGCAACACAAAGUAUCUCAUUGAAAAUAGAUCUCAGAGAAAUAAUAUGAGAAUAAUAGGCAUACCUGAAAAUCUGGAAACAAAGAGAAACCUUGACACCAUAUGACAAGAAAUUAUCUAAGAAAACUUCCCUGAGGUUCUGCAACAAGAAGACAAAAUAGAAAUUGAAAGAGUCCAUAGAUCACCCACUAAACUAAUUCCUCAAAAGACUACCCACAGGAAUGUAAUUGGCAAUUUCAAGAGCUUCCAAGCUAAGGAGAAAAUAUUACAAGAAACCAGAAAGAGGAAAUUCAGAUAUCAAAGAGCACCAAAAAGGAUUACACAGGAUCUGGCAGCCUCCACACUAAAAGAGCGCAAGGUGUAAUAAAAUGUAAUCUGUGUGGAAACUAUGUCUGGUUGUAAAAACUGGAUACUCUGGCUACUAAAGAGAACUGCUAGUAGGGAGACACCUGAGGCUGCUUAGCUGUAAUGGGGAUAGAUGAGAGAUGCUGCUUGAGAUAGAGAGAUUCUGCUACAGGGAAAUGCACUGGGUUUUGUCUACUGAUCUCCACUGAUGACUAGUAGAUCGAGAUAUUUCCUAACUUCCUCCUCCCUUCACUCCCUCCCUACUUCCACCAUCUCCCUUUCAGUUUCUUCUGAAGUUUGUGGCUUCACCUCCCCUCCCUGAGUGGACUAUGAUAUUUAUGAGGAAAACUGUCUUCCUUUAUUUUCUCAGGUAAGGGGUUUAUUGGGAUAACAGGACAAGGUAACUGAGGUGAGAGGGAUGAGGGUUUCCCUAAUCUAAAAUGAAGAUUAUGAGGGUUUUGGAAGUCACAGCUGUGACAGGGGGACAGUCACAGAGAGAUGGAGGAUAACUAUUAAGUCUUCUUUUUCUUCUUUCAAUUCACAAAGCCACCAAUGUCUCUCAGCCUAACUUCAGAAGCACCUCCAGCAUCCUUCAACCUGGGACAGAUACUAAUAGGAUUAGUUCAGCUUCUUCCCCCUUCCAGCCAGGCUUGCCUCCCUUGGUCAGAAAAAACCCAGAGCAAAAGUCCCAGUUUUUCUCUCCUUUAUCAGUCACCCCCACAGAGAGAGAAUCAAAUCCCAGUUUCUCUCCCUGGCCAGCUGCAACUGCCUUCUCCUGGGAACAUUCUGUUUGGAACCUUCACUUUGAUUUUGCAGAUCAGGUCCCCAGCUUUGUUUCUUGCAUGACUUGGCUUGUAAGUGCUCUCUCUCUCUUCAUGACUCUUACACAAAGGCUUGGAAUACAAUAUUUAUAAAGGCAAGAGAAUUGGGUCUACAAUCAAGGAUCACUUACCCAUCAAAAUUGACUAUAUACUUCAAGGGAAAGUAUGGGUAUUCAACAAAAUAGAAGACUUCCAAGUACUUGUAAAGGAAAGACCAGAGCUAAACAGAAAAUUUGACAUCAGAAUACAAAACCCAAGAGAAACAUGAAAAAGUAAAUAAGAAAGAGAGGGAUCUUAUUUUUUUUCCUUAAAGGGCCUCAAUAAGGUCAAAAUGUUUAUAUUCCUUUAUGGAAAAAUGUUAUUUGCAACUGUCAAAAAUUUUAUUCACUAUUAUAGUAGUUAGAAGAAUUAUCCUUAGGUAGAGAUUGGUGUACUAAGUGGGUUAAAAUCAUAUAUAAAAAAAGAAGAAAGAAAGGGGCGGUGGGGAGAAGAUGGCAGCAAGAGAAACUUGAAGGAAAAAGAAAAUUAAGCACAUGGGAGUGGGAGGAGAAGAAUAUAACUAUAAGAAGGAUAGGAAGAUAGUGCUAAAAGGUAAUACUGAAACCUUAUGCUUAGUGGAAACAAUUCCAAGAGGAAAGAACAUCUAGAUCCAUUGGGUUAUUGAAUUCUAUAUUACCCUAUAGGGAAGUUGAGAGGGGGAAACUAAGGGGGGAUGUCAGGGGAGUUAAAAAGGGGGAGGGAAAGCGAGAGGUGUUAUUAUUUUAUUUAUUUGUGGUUGGACUUUGAAUAUUUAUAUGGGUGGUCACCAGGAAUUUAAUUUCUAAAUCCCAAAAUGAAUUACUAAAAUAAGUGGAAUUUAUGGUCAUUUAUUUACAAUAUGUACAAUAGAUGGAAGGUAUUAAGUAAUGAGGGAGAGAGAGAAAACUCUGAUUUCUUCUGAUAUCAGUUAGAAUUUCUAAGCCGCAGCCAGAGGAAGAGAGUCUCAAGACGAUGGGACUCCAAGAAAAGCAGGGUAACUAUGUUAGCCUUUUACUCACCAACAGUGACAGUCUAAAUGGAAAGAAGUCUGGGUGUCUGUCUUCCAGUCUCUCCUCAAGGGUCUGUCUUCCAGUCUUUCCUCUAAGUCAGAGCCUCCAUCCAACCUGAAACUGGAAUCAAAUAUAUCUCCUCUUCUGGUCUUUCAUCCUAUUUUUAAAGAAUAUUUUUCUCUUAUAUCACCUCCCCUAAAUUUCAUGUCUAUCAGUCACAGCAGAUGCUUUUCUCCAGAAAUGCCCCCACUCUUUAGUUCUCACCUUCUUUGGUUAGAUUAUAUUUCUUUUGGUUACUUAACACCUUUUUUGGAAAAUUAAACUUUUGUAGUUACUUAAUACCUUUUUGUUGUUAAAAUGGGUAGAUGUACUUAAAAUACUGAGUUAUCACCUUUUUGUAGAUUAAAAUCUAAAAAUAUAUUGUGGAUUACAAUUCUAGCUUCACUAUAAAGGGAGAAUUAAGUACCUUCAUUGUUACAAUCAGGAGAUUAUAAUUUUAUCUUUACAAUAAAG
Molecule: long non-coding RNA, 4143 nt
Organism: Monodelphis domestica (gray short-tailed opossum)
Lineage: Eukaryota; Metazoa; Chordata; Mammalia; Didelphimorphia; Didelphidae
Source: RefSeq, a predicted model, not a curated record